Molecule: long non-coding RNA, 322 nt
Organism: Callorhinchus milii (elephant shark)
Lineage: Eukaryota; Metazoa; Chordata; Chondrichthyes; Chimaeriformes; Callorhinchidae
Exons: 4
Source: RefSeq, a predicted model, not a curated record
AUUAUAUAUAUAUUCCAAAAGUAAAGGGUAGAGAAAUCGCCGCCCGUGGAGUGGAGACCCGACAGAUUGAUGUGUGAAAAGGUGCUGUGUAGGUGGGAACCCUCUGCCUGUUCCAGCUUUGACCACAGAAGAACCCCGAAUUCAGCAAUAAAAGAACCAUUAACAUGGCCAAAGAUGUUGGGAUAAUAGAAACUAAUGGGGAGAUCAAAGUUUUUACGGAUCAAAAUAUUAGCCCAGCAAAAAUUGCAUUAGUGACAGUAGCAUCUUCUCAUCUCAGCACCCCAGGGAAACAAAUUUUGCCAAAAACACUGGGGCUGUCAAA